Molecule: ribosomal RNA, 1950 nt
Filed under: human gut metagenome
Description: bacterial LSU rRNA
Rfam family: Bacterial large subunit ribosomal RNA
Source: RNAcentral
UUAAAGUAGUAAGGGCGCAGGGUGGAUGCCUUGGCACUAAGAGCCGAUGAAAGACGUGAUAAGCUGCGAAAAGCUUCGGGGAGGAGCACAUAUCCAAUGAUCCGGAGAUAUCUGAAUGGGGAAACCCGGCAGAGGAAACCUCUGUCAGCGUGCAGUGAAUACAUAGCUGUACGUGGGGAACCCGGGGAACUGAAACAUCUAAGUACCCGGAGGAAGAGAAAGAAAAUUUAUCGAUUUCCAAAGUAGCGGCGAGCGAAAUGGAAAGAGCCCAAACCGUGAUGCGUGCAUCGCGGGGUUCGGACUGCGUUGUGGCAGACGUAAGAUAGGAGAACGGACUGGGAAGUCCGGCCGGAGAGAGUGAAAGCCUCGUAUCCGAAAUCCCAAGUCGCCUAGCAGGAUCCAGAGUAGGACGAGACACGAGAAACCUUGUCUGAACGAGCGGGGACCACCCCGUAAGGCUAAAUACUUCUUAGUGACCGAUAGCGCAUAGUACUGUGAAGGAAAGGUGAAAAGUACCCCGGGAGGGGAGUGAAAGAGAACCUGAAACCCUGUGUCUACAAGCUGUGGGACCUCUUUAUAUGAGGGACUGCGUACUUUUUGUAGAACGGUCCGGCGAGUUGUGCGUACUGGCGAGGUUAAGGACUUAAGGUCUGGAGCCGAAGUGAAAGCAAGCGUUAAUAGCGCGUCAAGUCAGUGAGUGCAGACCCGAAACCGGGUGACCUAUCCAUGUCCAGGUUGAAGCUUCCGUAAGAGGAAGUGGAGGACCGAACCCACAUCCGUUGAAAAGGGUGGGGAUGAGGUGUGGAUAGCGGAGAAAUUCCAAUCGAACCCGGAGAUAGCUGGUUCUCCUCGAAAUAGCUUUAGGGCUAGCCUCAUGAGAGUCUUAUGGAGGUAGAGCACUGAAUUGCCUAGGGGGCGUCAAAGCUUACCAAAGCAUAUCAAACUCCGAAUGCCAUCAAGAUGAUUCAUGGGAGUCAGACCAUACGAGAUAAGUUGGAUGGUCAAAAGGGAAAGAGCCCAGACCUACAGCUAAGGUCCCAAAGUGCGUGUUAAGUGGAAAAGGAUGUGGGGAUUCUAAGACAACUAGGACGUUGGCUUAGAAGCAGCCAUUCAUUGAAAGAGUGCGUAAUAGCUCACUAGUCGAGAGUCCCUGCGCCGAAAAUGUCCGGGGCUGAAACACGACACCGAAGCUUAGGAAUGUGUAAACAUUGGUAGAGGAGCAUUGCUGGCGGGAUGAAGCCAUACCGUAAGGAGUGGUGGACUGCCAGGAAGAGAGAAUGCCGGAAUGAGUAGCGAGAUGAAGGUGAGAAUCCUUCAGGCCGAAUAUCUAAGGUUUCCAGAGUAAAGCUGAUCUGCUCUGGGUAAGUCGGGACCUAAGGCGAGGUCGAAAGACGUAGUCGAUGGAUAACAGGUUGAAAUUCCUGUACCGCAUAUAAACAGAACUGUGGGGACACAGACAGGGAAUGGAAUCCGGGAAUGGAGAUCCCGGUGCAAGCGAGGUAGGAGUGCUGUUGGCAAAUCCGCAGCACGAUCUGAAGACGUGACGCGUACCGAACAUAAGUAGGGAAGUCCAGGCCCCUGGCUGUCAAGAAAAGCCGCUAUCGUUUUAUAUGUGCCCGUACCGCAAACCGACACAGGUGGAUGAGGAGAGAAUCCUAAGGCCGACGGGAGAAGUAUUGUUAAGGAACUCGGCAAAAUGACUCCGUAACUUCGGGAGAAGGAGUGCCAUGAGAGUGGCCGCAGAGAAAUGGCCCAAGCAACUGUUUAGCAAAAACACAGGUCUAUGCAAAACCGCAAGGUGAAGUAUAUGGGCUGACGCCUGCCCGGUGCUGGAAGGUUAAGGGGAGAGGUUAGCGCAAGCGAAGCUUUGAACUUAAGCCCCAGUAAACGGCGGCCGUAACUAUAACGGUCCUAAGGUAGCGAAAUUCCUUGUCGGGUAAGUUCCGACCC